Molecule: ribosomal RNA, 468 nt
Filed under: uncultured bacterium
Lineage: Bacteria
Description: partial 16S ribosomal RNA
Rfam family: Bacterial small subunit ribosomal RNA
Source: RNAcentral
GACGAACGCUGGCGGCGUGCUUAACACAUGCAAGUCGAACGGAAAGGCCCUGCUUUUGUGGGGUGCUCGAGUGGCGAACGGGUGAGUAACACGUGAGUAACCUGCCCUUGACUUUGGGAUAACUUCAGGAAACUGGGGCUAAUACCGGAUAGGAGCUCCUGCUGCAUGGUGGGGGUUGGAAAGUUUCGGCGGUUGGGGAUGGCCUCGCGGCUUAUCAGCUUGUUGGUGGGGUAGUGGCUUACCAAGGCUUUGACGGGUAGCCGGCCUGAGAGGGUGACCGGCCACCUUGGGACUGAGAUACGGCCCAGACUCCUACGGGAGGCAGCAGGGGGGAAUAUUGCACAAUGGGCGGAAGCCUGAUGCAGCAACGCCGCGUGCGGGAUGACGGCCUUCGGGUUGUAAACCGCUUUCGCCUGUGACGAAGCGUGAGUGACGGUAAUGGGUAAAGAAGCACCGGCUAACUACGUG